Long non-coding RNA from Arachis ipaensis, 1699 nucleotides. RefSeq lists it as uncharacterized. NCBI's taxonomy places the organism in Eukaryota, Viridiplantae, Streptophyta, Magnoliopsida, Fabales, Fabaceae. The record is from RefSeq and is a predicted model, not a curated record.
CCUCCGAGUUUGUGCUUCACGUUUUGCGAGACUAAAGAGUUGCACAUCAAACAUGGAAGAGCAUAGAUGUCAGUUUGGAAUGAAGCAAACGGUUUUUUCACCAAGCCCUUCCUUCCCUUGCUCAUGGAAAAUUUGUCUUCCGAUUCUCACCUUAAAGACAUGACGACAGAUAGCAGAAGUCGAUCGAGUGUGUCUCGUGGUCAUGGUAGAGGGAGAGUUUCUACCAAAUUUCCAAGGAUUGCUCAGUCACCGUCCUUUACUCCGACUACCCCGUCGACUCCUGUGACGUCACAAGCGGAUCCAGCGGGCUAGUAGUUCAUCAUGGUCCUGAACCCGAACUACGUGCCUCCUUCUGCUACGCCCCUAUAAAUCCAGCGACAGAUCCCGCAGUGGGUGAUUCAUUUAAUACGUCCCAGCAGGAUACCCCUCCACCACCGCUCGUCAUACGGGUUCGGAUUUGAUCUGAUGGCAUGUAGAUGUUUGCAUCAAACAACAAUGCUUGUACACAGGAGAUCUCUGAAGUGAUUAAGUCAAUGUACGACCACCUGUGGCCGACCUACACGAAGAUCCCUGUUGACAAUAGAGAGCGAUGAUUUUCAGAAGUGGGUGUUGAAAUUCAUAUGAGAUACAAAACAUAAUCUCGUGAUUUGGAAGAUCUAUGACCACCGGGCAACUAAACGACUUCAGCAAAUGAUGAGCGACAUUCGUCAAGGGCGCGACCAUCUAACGACCUGGAUCUGUCCAUCUAUCAAGAAGGAACUAGAGACCCAUUUUAGAACUGAUGGGGGGUUCAAGCGUCGCCAUCUGACGAACGUCGCUAACAGAGCUUCGUCAAGGUCGUCAAAGUAUACAGGUAGGUCAGCGACUUUCAUAAAGACAAAGAGCAGGUUGGUAAGUACUUCACAUGUUUGUUAAUUAUUACUUGAAUUAGUUGUUUCUUGACUUAUUUACUUAGUUGAUUUCGAUAUGUGCAGUUUAAGUCGUUCGAUUAUGAGGCGACACUGGCGGAACCUUCAAGUAUACCCAUACUUUGAAGGCCAACAAGAAGAAAUUUGCUGAUGAGCGGUCUGUGACUCAUUAUGAGGUCUACACAUAUAGAUUGGAGGCCCCAACCCAGCAACAUCAAUCGCCUAGUGAAAACGACGACCCCGAUAUCUCAGUGGUAGAUCCUGAUAGGGUUUGGCGCGAGACCGCCUCUGAGCCCCACAAGAAUUGCGUCUUCGAGUUGGGGUCGUUAUUUGCUAAUGGUCUCCGCACCUCUGCAUUGGCGGCUUCAUCUGCGUCUGCCUCUGCCACCAGCCCUGUCGAUCCCGCGGAAGUUGUCGACUUGAGGGAGGAGGUGUAGAAGAUCACACAGGAGGUUCACCAACAAGCUCAACAGUCUAAGCAGAGGUACAACGAGCUUCUUGCACGCAUGGGAGACACUGCAGCCAUCAACUCGCAGAUGACGGCGAAGCUGGAGCGGCUAGAGCGUUUGCGGGAGUAGAUUGAGGUGUACAACGAGCAUAUGCGCAUUGGAGGUAGCGACGCUACUGGUAAGGCACCGACAUCAGCACCUACUCCACCGCCUCAGUAGGGGAAAGACGACGAUGACGAUGGCGACAAUUACCAGGAUCAGUAGGAUUUAGGGAUUUAAUUUAUUUUAUGCCUAUUUCAUUGUAUUUUACUUCUAUGACAUUUUACUAUAUUCAGACAAUUG